AAGAUAAAACGAAAGAAAUAACAAUUGCAUAUAUGGUGUUUGUACAUAAUGUAUGCGUUUAUCAUAGUUUGUCUUUAUGUAAUUUAAUUGUUUUCUUUUACGCAUAAAACCUAGAGUAACGUUAAACGGCCCAAAUGGAUGAGGAAAACGUCAUCAUCGACGUCUUUUAAUUAUUACACGGACACUAAACGCCGGGGUUUCAACUGCGCACUUGAUUCACUUGAUCUUUGAUAGCUCGAUUUCGGAGAACUGUUGGAGUUAAUUGCAUUUUUUACAAUUCAAUAAUCAGUUUUUUUUAGAACCAUUUUAUAUCGUGAAUUUUCUUUUGAGAUUUUGCUGAGGUGGUCAAAAUGCGAGUUAAUAAUAUUGAUUGACCGAAUUUCGUUUCGAAUCUGGCAACUGCGUGGUAAAUACUUAUAUAUAUAUAGCGCUGAAUAUAUUUUAUUAUAUUUUAUUUUAGUAGUU
Molecule: non-coding RNA, 465 nt
Organism: Cinara cedri
Lineage: Eukaryota; Metazoa; Arthropoda; Insecta; Hemiptera; Aphididae
Source: the annotation of a GenBank genome assembly